RNAcentral lists this ribosomal RNA (429 nucleotides) under Chloroflexota bacterium. RNAcentral's name for it is "Chloroflexi bacterium partial 16S ribosomal RNA". It matches the Rfam family "Bacterial small subunit ribosomal RNA", at positions 355 to 776 of the family's 1533-position model. Lineage: Bacteria; Bacillati; Chloroflexota. The record is from RNAcentral.
UGGGGAAUAUUGCACAAUGGGCGCAAGCCUGAUGCAGCCAUGCCGCGUGUGUGAAGAAGGCCUUCGGGUUGUAAAGCACUUUCAGCGGGGAGGAAGGCGAUAAGGUUAAUAACCUUGUCGAUUGACGUUACCCGCAGAAGAAGCACCGGCUAACUCCGUGCCAGCAGCCGCGGUAAUACGGAGGGUGCAAGCGUUAAUCGGAAUUACUGGGCGUAAAGCGCACGCAGGCGGUCUGUCAAGUCGGAUGUGAAAUCCCCGGGCUCAACCUGGGAACUGCAUUCGAAACUGGCAGGCUAGAGUCUUGUAGAGGGGGGUAGAAUUCCAGGUGUAGCGGUGAAAUGCGUAGAGAUCUGGAGGAAUACCGGUGGCGAAGGCGGCCACCUGGACAAAGACUGACGCUCAGGUGCGAAAGCGUGGGGAGCAAACAGG